GACAGAGGGUGCAAACGUUGUUCGGAAUUACUGGGCGUAAAGCGUGUGUAGGCGGUUUGGAUAGUCGGAUGUGAAAGCCCCGGGCUCAACCCGGGAAGUGCAUUCGAUACUCCCAAGCUAGAGUAUCGGAGAGGUUGGUGGAAUUCUCGGUGUAGAGGUGAAAUUCGUAGAUAUCGAGAGGAACACCGGUGGCGAAGGCGGCCAACUGGACGAAUACUGACGCUGAGACUCGAAAGCGUGGGGAGCAAACAGG
RNAcentral lists this ribosomal RNA (253 nucleotides) under uncultured bacterium. RNAcentral's name for it is "partial 16S ribosomal RNA". It matches the Rfam family "Bacterial small subunit ribosomal RNA", at positions 524 to 776 of the family's 1533-position model. The record is from RNAcentral.